UACGUAGGUGGCGAGCGUUACUCGGAAUGACUGGGUGUAAAGCGUAGGUAGGUGGUUUGGUAAGUACAGUGUGAAAUCCCGAGGCUCAACCUCGGGGCUGCGCUGUAGACUGCUUGACUAGAGUCAGGUUGAGGUGAACGGAAUUCCCGGUGUAGCGGUGAAAUGCAUAGAUAUCGGGAGGAACACCAGUGGCGAAAGCGGUUUGCCAGGCCUGUACUGACACUGAGCUACGAAAGCGUGGGGAG
This 245-nucleotide ribosomal RNA is filed under the name uncultured bacterium. RNAcentral describes it as "partial 16S ribosomal RNA". It matches the Rfam family "Bacterial small subunit ribosomal RNA", at positions 524 to 768 of the family's 1533-position model. The record is from RNAcentral.